CAUCUUCUUGUUAAUGUCCUUUCCUGCUUUUCAAACUUUCCAGCCUUGUAUUUUUCUGGAUAGAGCUGGAAUCCAUUCUAGUGCUCAAGUUUCAGUGGAAGAGACUGACUAGAAAAGUACAAUUACACAUGAAACUAAGAAGAGGAUAGGUUUUCUGAGGACCUCAGGAUAGCAAAUAACCAAAUCUUAACUGUUGGAGUAUUUUGAAGUACUCAGAAAUAAUAAUUUUGGGAAUACUCCGUAAAAAGUUCCAGAAGAUCUUUAAGUGAGUGAAGUGGAAACAGA
Molecule: non-coding RNA, 285 nt
Organism: Microcebus murinus (gray mouse lemur)
Lineage: Eukaryota; Metazoa; Chordata; Mammalia; Primates; Cheirogaleidae
Source: RefSeq, a predicted model, not a curated record